Molecule: ribosomal RNA, 253 nt
Filed under: uncultured bacterium
Lineage: Bacteria
Description: partial 16S ribosomal RNA
Rfam family: Bacterial small subunit ribosomal RNA
Source: RNAcentral
UACGUAGGGGGCAAGCGUUGUCCGGAAUUACUGGGCGUAAAGCGCCUGUAGGCGGGAACGUGCGUCGGACGUGAAAGGCGGGGGCUUAACCCCCGAGCGGCGUUCGAAACGGCGUUUCUUGAGGGUCGAAGAGGAGCGUGGAAUUCCUGGUGUAGCGGUGAAAUGCGUAGAGAUCAGGAGGAACACCCAUGGCGAAGGCAGCGCUCUGGUCGGCAUCUGACGCUGAGAGGCGAAAGCGUGGGGAGCGAACGGG